GGGCCGUUAGCUCAAUUGGUAGAGCACCGGUCUCCAAAACCGGGGGUUGGAGGUUCGAGUCCUUCACGGCCCG
RNAcentral lists this transfer RNA (73 nucleotides) under Marinithermus hydrothermalis DSM 14884. It matches the Rfam family "tRNA". From Rfam's summary of the family: Transfer RNA (tRNA) molecules are approximately 80 nucleotides in length. Their secondary structure includes four short double-helical elements and three loops (D, anti-codon, and T loops). Lineage: Bacteria; Thermotogati; Deinococcota; Deinococci; Thermales; Thermaceae. The record is from Rfam by way of RNAcentral.